Small nuclear RNA from Mastomys coucha (southern multimammate mouse), 105 nucleotides. Lineage: Eukaryota; Metazoa; Chordata; Mammalia; Rodentia; Muridae. The record is from RefSeq and is a predicted model, not a curated record.
GUGCUCUCUUUGGCAGCAUGCAGGUUAAAAAUUGGAAUGACACAGAGAUUAGCACGACCCUUGCCAAAAAGGAUACACAAAUUUCAAGAAAUAUUUCACAUUUAA